Molecule: ribosomal RNA, 528 nt
Filed under: uncultured bacterium
Lineage: Bacteria
Description: bacterial SSU rRNA
Rfam family: Bacterial small subunit ribosomal RNA
Source: RNAcentral
CGUACAUCCAGAGAACUUAGCAGAGAUGCUUUGGUGCCUUCGGGAACUCUGAGACAGGUGCUGCAUGGCUGUCGUCAGCUCGUGUUGUGAAAUGUUGGGUUAAGUCCCGNAACGAGCGCAACCCUUAUCCUUUGUUGCCAGCGGUUCGGCCGGGAACUCAAGGGAGACUGCCGGUGAUAAACCGGAGGAAGGUGGGGAUGACGUCAAGUCAUCAUGGCCCUUACGGCCAGGGCUACACACGUGCUACAAUGGCGCAUACAAAGAGAAGCGACCUCGCGAGAGCAAGCGGACCUCAUAAAGUGCGUCGUAGUCCGGAUUGGAGUCUGCAACUCGACUCCAUGAAGUCGGAAUCGCUAGUAAUCGUAGAUCAGAAUGCUACGGUGAAUACGUUCCCGGGCCUUGUACACACCGCCCGUCACACCAUGGGAGUGGGUUGCAAAAGAAGUAGGUAGCUUAACCUUCGGGAGGGCGCUUACCACUUUGUGAUUCAUGACUGGGGUGAAGUCGUAACAAGGUAGGCGUAGCGAG